Molecule: non-coding RNA, 2421 nt
Organism: Callithrix jacchus (white-tufted-ear marmoset)
Lineage: Eukaryota; Metazoa; Chordata; Mammalia; Primates; Cebidae
Source: RefSeq, a predicted model, not a curated record
UCGCCGGCUCGCGCGCGCAGUCGUCGGGGAUGCCGGGAGCGGCCCGGGGAGCUGUCCCUGGUGCUGACGGCUUGUCCUCUGUCGCCGGGUCCAAGCGACCUCGGGCGAAGCCUGGGGGCGCCCCCACCCCGGCCCGCGCCCUGCGGUGCCCCUCUGCUCUCCGCCUGUUCUUGGGGCGUUCCGGCUUCCACAGCGUUGGGAUCUGGAGUCAGAGGCGAGAAUUCUGAUGACAGACAGAAGAAUGAAGUGCUGGGAGUCCAUUUCCCUUUUACAGAUGGGCUGAACACAGAUGGGUGAGCAACUCUCCCACAGGCAAGAGCGAAUCGUCCCGGAUGAUGGAUGAGGAGGAGAUGGUGCUGAGAGGCGCUCGGGGACCCGUCAAGGGGUCUCUCCCAGCUUCGUCUGUGAGUCACAGAUCAUCCUGACAAAUCCUGCCGCAGAGCGGAGGAGAAGUGAGACGGGAGAGAUGGAGGAUUUAUUGUUUCAGAGCCUUCCUCCAUUGCAGGGAUUUUUUUACUCCAGAGAAGCAUUAACAGAGAGUACUCCUAAUCUGGGUUUUACUUUCUCAGCCAAAGCACUUCUUCACAGCUCGAGCAAAUGCAGGCCAUGCCUACAUUCGCUCAUUCAUUCCCUCACAUACUGUGGGCGCAGAGACAGAGGCAAGAGUCGUCGUCAUCACGAGCUCAGAGGGAGGAUUGCAGACGCUGCUGAAUGCUGUUCGCUUUAAUAAAAAGAUGAAAGAGAGCACCCACUGUGACUGACACAGGCCAGCGUCAGGACAUAACGAGGAAAUGUCAUGCCGGACUGACAUGCCAGACUUUCACUUCAGCUGUGCAGCGCAGUUCCUCCCCUCAGGACAGAGUCUCUAGAGCACCCAUGGGGCAGCUCUGCCACCGAAGACUCACCUUACAGACACAGUCUCCCCUUGGGCACAAAGAAUGAAACCAAGGACUUGCCCAUUGCUCUCCCUUCAGAAUCUAUCCAAGCCUCCAGCCCCAGAGCCUGCCUAACAAUGGCAGAUUCGGAUGGGGGUGAGGAGGAGGAGGGCGUGGGAGGAGAGAAAGAAGAACGGCAGGGGUAAUUAUGGGGAAGCAGGUGGUCGGGGCAGAGCGAGGACAUAAGGCCAGUGCUGUGACACCCAGGGAUGGUGGGAGCCAUGGGAGGCCCAGGCCCCUUCUGUCCUGGCCUGGAUGCCGCCUCCCUCACCGCCUGGCUGGCUUGAGGAAUCAGAAAGAGCAUCAGCUACGGGUCUGUACACGAGCAGAUGAGCCCUGCUGCCGGGCUAGCCUCACGCUGUGAAAUAGCAGAGAGGCCUGGCCCCAGUACAAUCCGGGAAGGGGAGGGGGCACAGCCUCGUCUGUUUGGCCCCUCGUUCUCUGCCUCUCUGUCCUGGAAUGGCACAUCCACGAGGGCAGGGGCUUCGUGCCUCUUGUUGUCUUCGUGCCUCUCUGCUGUCUCCCAGAACCAACCACAGCAGCUGUUCGUUGAAUGAAUGAAAGAUGCUGGUGUGAGAAAGUGUCUGCCUGAGGCUCUGUGGAGUCAGAUGCAGGGUCCCCUGCAAACACAGCUGGCCCGAGAUUGGCAGCCACCCAGACAAGACGUGGCAGGCAGCAGGGCCACCCCCUGCUCUGGAAACCCCACACUGAGACCACUGGCUGUGGUGAUUGGGCUGAGGGGGAGUCUGGGGUGUAGAGAUAAUAAACAGCUCAGUGGUGAGCACUGGCCCAGACCCUCCUUCCCUGUACCACUGGCUCCCUAGAGAAGGGGCAGAGCCCGACGCAGCAAAUCUGCCCUGAGGACGCUUGGACCAUGGCACGAGGCCCUAGGCUGAAGAGGGCGGCCUCUAACCCCCAGCCUCCCUCUCUGCACCCUCCCCAUACCCCACCCCAGGGCAUCAACCCUUGUCUCAAGCGCCCUCACCCAGGGUAGCUUCCCCUGCACGAGCCCUUUGGCUGUUCCUCUUGACUCCCAGGACGGUGUCUGCCCGGUGGCCACCAUUUGAGUCCCCACAGCCGCCCCCAGGCUUGUUACUCCAGCCAUGCCCAGACCAGCCAUUUCCAAAUGCUCACUCCUCACUGCCUGUGGCAGACUACUCCCUCUGCCAGAGGUGCCCUUCCUACCCAUCCCCACCCCACAAACUCCUACACACCCUGCAAGGCACAGCUAGAAUGUUGCAGCCUCUGGGAGACAGGGAGAGUCAAAGGCAGCAUAUAAUGUGUUGAUUAAAGUUCUAACGCUGCUUUUUCUGCAACUGUUUAUUUAAAUCUAUUUGAACAUAAACCCCUUAACCCGAAGGGCUAAGUCAGACUGACUCACACAUUUAUUUAGCACCUCCUGUCCGCAGGCAGAGCAUUGGGUGCUGGGAUGCAGUAAUGAACAGGGCAGUAACUGUCUUGCCCUCUCAGGGUAGAUAGCCUAGUG